This is a long non-coding RNA of Homo sapiens (human), 295 nucleotides long. RefSeq lists it as uncharacterized. The transcript has 2 exons. NCBI's taxonomy places the organism in Eukaryota, Metazoa, Chordata, Mammalia, Primates, Hominidae. The record is from RefSeq and is a predicted model, not a curated record.
AAGGGACAGAAACCGCUGAGUCCCGCUCCACCAACCUGGGACAAACCAGCUUAAAGGCGCUGUUCAGGAAGACUCAGCUCUCUCCGCUGGGAUCCUCCACUGGGCUCUGGAGUUCAGAGGUUCAAGGUUAAAGUGAAAAGAAGGCUGAGCAUGGAGACAACAGGAGACUUCAAGUCCCACUUGACAGUUCCUGGCUAAGUGAUCCUAAACAAGCCUCUUAACCUCUCUGAGACUCAGUAUGCCCAUCUAUGCAAUGAGAAUUUGUAACAAUAAAAUCAAAAAGCCUCCUCUGUCA